CCAAUAGCGUAUAUUAAAGUUGUUGCAGUUAAAAAGCUCGUAGUUGAAUUUCGAGACCGGCUUACUGGUCGUGCUUUUGUGCGUACUGGUAUAAUCGGUUUCUCCUUUCUGACGAACUUUAAUGCCAUUAAUUUGGUGUUUUAGGGAAUCAGAACUGUUACUUUGAAAAAAUUAGAGUGUUUAAAGCAGGCUCACGCUUGAAUACAUUAGCAUGGAAUAACGGAAUAGGACGUUUGAUUCUAUUUUGUUGGUUUCUAGGAUCGACGUAAUGAUUAAUAGUGAUAGUUGGGGGCAUUAGUAUUCAAUUGUCAGAGGUGAAAUUCUUGGAUUUAUUGAAGACUAACUACUGCGAAAGCAUUUGCCAAGGAUGUUUUCAUUAAUCAAGAACGAAAGUUAGGGGAUCGAAGACGAUCAGAUACCGUCGUAGUCUUAACCAUAAACUAUGCCGACUAGGGAUCGGAUGAUGUUAAUUUUUUAAUGACUCAUUCGGCGCCUUACG
This 499-nucleotide ribosomal RNA is filed under the name uncultured Glomeromycotina. RNAcentral's name for it is "partial small subunit ribosomal RNA". It matches the Rfam family "Eukaryotic small subunit ribosomal RNA", at positions 591 to 1092 of the family's 1831-position model. Lineage: Eukaryota; Fungi; Glomeromycota. The record is from RNAcentral.